This 393-nucleotide ribosomal RNA is filed under the name uncultured bacterium. RNAcentral describes it as "partial 16S ribosomal RNA". It matches the Rfam family "Bacterial small subunit ribosomal RNA", at positions 523 to 918 of the family's 1533-position model. The record is from RNAcentral.
AUACGGAGGAUGCGAGCGUUAUCCGGAUUUAUUGGGUUUAAAGGGAGCGUAGGCGGGAUAUUAAGUCAGCUGUGAAAGUUUGGGGCUCAACCUUAAAAUUGCAGUUGAUACUGGUUUCCUUGAGUACGGUACAGGUGGGCGGAAUUCGUGGUGUAGCGGUGAAAUGCUUAGAUAUCACGAAGAACUCCGAUCGCGAAGGCAGCUCACCGGGCCGGAACUGACACUGAUGCUCGAAAGUGCGGGUAUCAAACAGGAUUAGAUACCCUGGUAGUCCGCACAGUAAACGAUGAAUACUCGCUGUUUGCGAUACACAGUAAGCGGCCGAGCGAAAGCGUUAAGUAUUCCACCUGGGGAGUACGCCGGCAACGGUGAAACUCAAAGGAAUUGACGGGG